RNAcentral lists this ribosomal RNA (467 nucleotides) under Enterobacter hormaechei. RNAcentral's name for it is "bacterial SSU rRNA". It matches the Rfam family "Bacterial small subunit ribosomal RNA", at positions 227 to 686 of the family's 1533-position model. Lineage: Bacteria; Pseudomonadati; Pseudomonadota; Gammaproteobacteria; Enterobacterales; Enterobacteriaceae. The record is from RNAcentral.
GUGCCCAGAUGGGAUUAGCUAGUAGGUGGGGUAACGGCUCACCUAGGCGACGAUCCCUAGCUGGUCUGAGAGGAUGACCAGCCACACUGGAACUGAGACACGGUCCAGACUCCUACGGGAGGCAGCAGUGGGGAAUAUUGCACAAUGGGCGCAAGCCUGAUGCAGCCAUGCCGCGUGUAUGAAGAAGGCCUUCGGGUUGUAAAGUACUUUCAGCGGGGAGGAAGGCGAUAAGGUUAAUAACCUUGUCGAUUGACGUUACCCGCAGAAGAAGCACCGGCUAACUCCGUGCCAGCAGCCGCGGUAAUACGGAGGGUGCAAGCGUUAAUCGGAAUUACUGGGCGUAAAGCGCACGCAGGCGGUCUGUCAAGUCGGAUGUGAAAUCCCCGGGCUCAACCUGGGAACUGCAUUCGAAACUGGCAGGCUAGAGUCUUGUAGAGGGGGGUAGAAUUCCAGGUGUAGCGGUGAAA